AGCGAACGCUGGCGGCAGGCUUAACACAUGCAAGUCGAGCGGGCAUCUUCGGAUGUCAGCGGCAGACGGGUGAGUAACACGUGGGAACGUACCCUUCGGUUCGGAACAACUCUGGGAAACUGGAGCUAAUACCGGAUACGCCCUUCUGGGGAAAGGUUUACUGCCGAAGGAUCGGCCCGCGUCUGAUUAGCUAGUUGGUGGGGUAACGGCCUACCAAGGCGACGAUCAGUAGCUGGUCUGAGAGGAUGAUCAGCCACACUGGGACUGAGACACGGCCCAGACUCCUACGGGAGGCAGCAGUGGGGAAUAUUGGACAAUGGGCGCAAGCCUGAUCCAGCCAUGCCGCGUGAGUGAUGAAGGCCUUAGGGUUGUAAAUCUCUUUUGUCCGGGACGAUAAUGACGGUACCGGAAGAAUAAGCCCCGGCUAACUUCGUG
Molecule: ribosomal RNA, 435 nt
Filed under: uncultured bacterium
Lineage: Bacteria
Description: partial 16S ribosomal RNA
Rfam family: Bacterial small subunit ribosomal RNA
Source: RNAcentral